Molecule: ribosomal RNA, 429 nt
Filed under: Chloroflexota bacterium
Lineage: Bacteria; Bacillati; Chloroflexota
Description: Chloroflexi bacterium partial 16S ribosomal RNA
Rfam family: Bacterial small subunit ribosomal RNA
Source: RNAcentral
UGGGGAAUAUUGCACAAUGGGCGCAAGCCUGAUGCAGCCAUGCCGCGUGUAUGAAGAAGGCCUUCGGGUUGUAAAGUACUUUCAGUCGGGAGGAAGGUGGUAAGGUUAAUAACCUUAUCAAUUGACGUUACCGACAGAAGAAGCACCGGCUAACUCCGUGCCAGCAGCCGCGGUAAUACGGAGGGUGCAAGCGUUAAUCAGAAUUACUGGGCGUAAAGCGCACGCAGGCGGUUGAUUGAGUCAGAUGUGAAAUCCCCGGGCUUAACCCGGGAAUUGCAUCUGAUACUGGUCAGCUAGAGUCUUGUAGAGGGGGGUAGAAUUCCAUGUGUAGCGGUGAAAUGCGUAGAGAUGUGGAGGAAUACCGGUGGCGAAGGCGGCCCCCUGGACAAAGACUGACGCUCAGGUGCGAAAGCGUGGGGAGCAAACAGG